RNAcentral lists this unclassified non-coding RNA (308 nucleotides) under Hevea brasiliensis (rubber tree). Lineage: Eukaryota; Viridiplantae; Streptophyta; Magnoliopsida; Malpighiales; Euphorbiaceae. The record is from RNAcentral.
GGCAGGACACAGGAAUCAUACUCAGCUUUGCAAUCUGAUAAAAUCCCACUGAAUUCCACAUUAGACUAACAUUCAUUCCAACAACUGAGAAGUUUGCAAAGAAGACAAAUUUCAAAAGCUCUGGGAAAGGUAGAUGAGACGCUUGUAUGUAUCCCAGCCACCUUAGAACAAAAGCCAACAAGGUUGUGGUAGCAAAAUGCAAACCAGUUAGUGUUGUAGCAUAACUGAAGUCAUAGGUGGCCAUUAAGGCUUUGUUGACAAUAAUAAUCCCAACAGAAGUGACAACGUUAAACAUCCAUGCAGCCGCA